AUUGAACGCUGGCGGCAGGCCUUACACAUGCAAGUCGAGCGGUAACAGGGCGCUAGCUCCUGACGUGUGCCGCAGGCGGGUGUAAUGUGCCUAAAAGUGCCCCUGCUUGGGGGGUAUCUACUCGGGAGAGGGGCUCUAACCCCACACGCGCUCUGAGGGAGAGAGUGGGGGCGCAUCGCCUCGCGCGCUUUCAGCUGACCCUAGGUCGGAUUAUCUAGUUGGUGGGGUAAAGGCUUACCAAGACCACGAUCCGUAGCUGGUCUGAGAGGACGAUCAGCCACACUGGGACUGAGACACGGUCCAGACUCCUACGGGAGGCAGCAGUGGGGAAUUUUGGACAAUGGGCGAAAGCCUGAUCCAGCAAUGCCGCGUGCAGGAAGAAGGCCUUCGGAUUGUAAACUGCUUUUGGUCGGAACGAAACGCAUCUGGUUAAUACCCGGCUGUAUUGACGGUACCGAAAGAAUAAGCACCGGCUAACUACGUG
RNAcentral lists this ribosomal RNA (484 nucleotides) under uncultured bacterium. RNAcentral describes it as "partial 16S ribosomal RNA". It matches the Rfam family "Bacterial small subunit ribosomal RNA", at positions 30 to 507 of the family's 1533-position model. The record is from RNAcentral.